GCUCUCAAAAUAGCGGGUUGCUGCACAAGACAUCCCUCCAACGCUAAAGGGUGAUCAAAGAUCCUCGACUAACGUGACAGUCCUAUUUUACCAAAACAGGGUUUUAGAACAAAUAUUAUGAGCCUAGAAAUCAAGCAUGAAUAUUAAGAUCAAAACAGUGUGCAUAAGAAUUAAGGAACAAUAAUGAACUUAAAUAAUCAGCUUGCACAAUAGUAAGAAAUAACUAGGCACAAAUAAUAUCAAUGCUGAAAAUAACAACACACUAAAACCCAGACUGUCACGUCGUCUCACUACACCGCUAUCAUCAUCGAGCAAUCAAAUCCGCCCACAAAUUGUGCAAUCACACCCAAGUAAAUAAUACUAGCAGAUUGCACAAAAUUACUCAACAAAUAAAGCGAGGCAACGGGUAACUCACAGCACGUAGAUUGUCUACGUGGGAAGACCAGCUCAGCGAACACAAGGUUCUGUCCCAGAAAACCAAUUCCGCCGCCCACGUCCGGACCUGCACGGCGGGAGGUUGAUGGAGAUACUAGAGCCGCUGCCGGAGCCGAGGGAGACGUCCACGGCACCAGCCCGAGAAGAGGAACACCGCGCAGCAAGGAGCCCAAGCACCAGGCCACGGUGGACAGAGACCAGAGAAGAUGCACGGCACCACACAGGUGCACGAACACAGCAACAGAGAACAGGUAAAACACGAGCGCAGCUCCACUCCCUUCCUCUCUCAAUCAGUACCAGCUAGAACCACCACCGGUUGGCGAUGGAAUCGGAUCAGAGUAGUGAACAGAGAGAGGAGAAAGAGCAGAGAACCAGCGGCUGCGUCCUGUCUCAGCCAGGGGAUGCCUCACCCACUUUAAGGAGUCGAGCAAGCCAUGAAAUCGGAGGCCGUUGAGGAGGAGAUAUCGCAGAGAGGAGCACGUCGCACGGCGCGGAAGUCGGGCGCACGGUUGAGCGCCGCCGCCGCCGCCGCUCGGCCUCAUGGCCCCGCUCGGCCUCGGGCAAAUGCCCUUGCCCUCGCUCGCUAGCUUUUCUGGCUGCCCUACUGGGCUGCUCGGCCCAACCGGCCUGGUAGCGGCCCAGCGGGUGACCAUUUCUCCUUUUUUUAAUUUCAUUUCUCAUAUUUUCAAUAAAGAAAAUAAAGGGAAAAUCCCUUCAAAUGAACAGCAAUCCCCACCAUUUUCACUGUUAUUUUCUGAUCAAUGUCAUUGAGCUCCCGUACUGUUUAUAUACUACUUUUCGACAGAGGUACUUGUUAGGUUUGAACCAAAGCCUAUCCCAGUGUACUCCAACCUUGCACGAGUAAGCGGAGGACUACGCCUUGAUCCACAAACCCUAGUGUGAGAAUCUUCGCACAAAAGGCACAUAGUACUAGGCAGAUUAUCUGCUUCUCUUACGGGGCAGGGCGUUACGGUCAUGCCCUUUAAUAUCUAUUCAUGAGCUCACUAGAGAGAAAACCCCAUUCUCUCCUGGACUGCGACCCCACAGUCAGCUCAUAUAGGUGAAAUCGUUAAGGAAAUUCUGUAGGACAAUUUCCCUGCUUAUAACAUUGACUUCAUUAAGAGCAUAUCGCUCAACCUGCCAUACAGUCAGAGCACAGCAGCUCAUGAGACUCUUUAUCUUUUGUGCUCUUGGUUCCACAGUGCUUCGUUUCCUGGAGCCUGGAUCUCGGGAUCUCCGGUCACACAGGACAGUUAUCCGCAGUUGAAACCGCUAACAGGGUACGAGUCCCAUUCCCAUACACGCUGCUUGGAUUGGCUUUUGAGCCAGCCCUUUGGUGAAAGGAUCAGCAAGGUUCCUUUCAGACUUGAUGUAAUCUACGGUUAUUACACCCGUCUCUCUAGCAUGCCGUCAUGAAUCAAGUCGUCUUCUGAUAUGCCUCGAGGAUUUUUGGUUGUCCUUUCUACUGUUCACUUUCAGCAACACAGAAGUGUUGUCACAGUAUACUAGGACAACCGGUAUCGGCUUUGCUAGCAUUGGAAGGUCUGACAAUAGGUCUCUCAACCAUUCAGCCUCCAAUGCUGCUGAAUCAAGUGCAACUAAUUCAGCCUCCUUGGUGGAACGUGUCGACACUGAUUGUUUAGACGAUCUCCAUGACACGGCCCCACCAGCUAAAGUGAACACAUAGCCACUUGUAGACUUCAUUUGAUCCGAGUCAGAGAUCCAGUUUGCAUCACUGAAUCCUUCAAGUACUGACGGAAAUCCGGUAUAUUUAAUACCAAGAUUCAUCGCUCCCUUCAAAUACCGAAGCACUCUGUACAAGGCUACCCAGUGUCUAUCUCUGGACUGGCCGAAUAACGAGCCAGUCUGCAUACUGCAUAUGAGAUAUCUGGUCUAGUUGCACUGCUCAGGUACAUGAGAGAUCCGAUGAUCUGCGAAUAUAGUAGCUGGUUCACAGGCUCGCCUUCAUAUUUACUGAGCGUGUAGGAUGGAUCAUAGGGCGUGGUGACUGGUUUACAGUCCAUAUGUCCAAAGCGAGUGAGGACCUUUUCCACAUAAUGGGAUUGUGACAAAGUAAUCCCAUCCUCACCCUUUAUCAGCUUGAUGUUCAGUAUAACAUCAGCUUCACCCAAGUCCUUCAUAUCAAAGUUCUUGGAGAGGAAUAAUUUUGUCUCCAUGAUAGCCUCCAAAUCGGUCCCAAAUAUCAAUAUGUCAUCAACGUAUAAACACAUGAUGACACCUUUGCCCCCAGAGAAGCGAUAAUACACACACUUGUCGGCUUCGUUUACACAAAACCCGGCAGUGGUCAGAGUAUUAUUAAACUUCUCAUGCCAUUGUCUGGGAGCUUGCUUAAGACCGUAUAAGGAUUUAAUCAAGCGACACACUUUGCUCUCUUGUCCUUUAACCACAAAUCCUUCUGGUUGCUGCAUAUAAAUUUCCUCUUCCAGCUCUCCAUUUAGGAAUGCUGUCUUUACGUCCAUUUGAUGAACAAGAAGUUUAUACGCAGCUGCCAGCGCUAUAAGCACACGGAUUGUGGGCAAUCGAGCCACCGGAGAAUAAGUAUCAAAAUAAUCCUCCUCUUUCUUUUGAGUAAAACCCUUAGCCACAAGACGAGCCUUGUACUUUUCAAUAGUACCAUCAGGUCUCCUCUUCCUCCUAAAGAUCCAUUUACAGCCCACAGGCUUGCAACCAGCUGGGAGAUCAGUUAUCUCCCAAGUUCCGUUCGAGAUGAUUGAAUCCAUCUCGCUACGGACAGCCUCCCUCCAGUACUCUGCAUCCGGAGAUGUAUAUGCCUCUGUGAGGGAGCGUGGUUCUUCAUCCACUAGAUAGAUAAUAUAAUCAUCACCCAGAGACUUUUCAGUCCUUUGUCUCUUACUCCUCCUUAACUCCAAAUCUGGAGUCUGGUCAUGGACACUCGAGGGCAGAGAAUAUGUCCGAGAUGGACCAUCUGGGGCUACUACUUCCUUAUCCCGCAUAGGGAAGAUGCUCUCAAAGAAUGUCACAUCCCGAGACUCCAUUAUUACAUUUACAGCGAUUUCGCUUGUCUCGGAAUGGACCACUAGAAAUCUAUAAGCUGCACUGUUAUGUGCAUAACCCAAGAAGACACAAUCUACGGUCUUAGGGCCUAGCUUUCUCUUCUUCGGCAACGGGACAUUCACCUUUGCAAGGCAGCCCCAAGUUCGAAGAUGCGAAAGAUCUGGCUUCCUUCCUUUAAAUCCUUCAUAGGGUGUGGCCUCACGGUUGCGAGGCGGCACCCUGUUCAGGACAUAGCAUACUGUGAGUACUGCCUCGCCCCACCAUAUGUCAGGCAUCCCCGAACUUUGCAACAAAGCAUUAACUAAGUCACACACCGUUCGGUUCUUCCUUUCAGCUACCCCAUUUGACUGAGGUGAAUAUGGAGCAGUGGUUUCAUGAAUGAUUCCACACUCUUUGCAGUACUCAUCAAAAAGGUUGGAAAGGUAUUCACCUCCUCUAUCAGACCGUAACCUUUUAAUUUUCUUGUCUAGCUGGUUUUCAACUUCAGUCUUAUAGAUCUUAAAGUGUUCUAGUGCCUCAUCUUUAGUUCUGAGUAAGUAAAUAUAACAGAACCUGGUAGCAUCAUCUAUCAAGGUAAGAAAGUAUCUUUUACCGCCUUUUGUGAUUAUACCAUUCAUCUCACAGAUAUCUGAGUGAAUUAGUUCUAAAGGAGUGGUACUUCUGCCUUCAACCGUAUGAAACGGUUUUCUAGGCUGCUUAGCUUGCACACAAAUACCACAUUUUACACCUUUAACAUGUUUAUAUUCAGGAAUUAAAGACAUGUCACUUAAUCUCUUAAUGGCCUCAAAAUUCACAUGACACAAACGAGAAUGCCAUAUAUUAUUAAUGGAAUCGUUAUUACAUACCACAUUAACAUGGUAAGAAGAACGAUUAUUCAAAACAGAAAGACGGAACAAACCGCCUGACUCAUAUGACUUUCCAACAAAAGUACCAAACUUAGACAGGACCACUUUAUUAGACUCAAACACUAAUUUGAGACCCUGUCGACAUAGCAGCGACACUGAUAUGAGGUUCCGGCUCAUCGAUGGCACAUAGAGUACGUCCUUCAGAACGAGCGUCUUUCCUGAAGUUAACUUCAGGUAGACCUGUCCAGUACCUCGAACUGCUGCCGAAACACCAUUUCCCAUCAAGACUGGUGCGCUGUUGUAUCCCUGGAAUGAAGAGAACAUGGAUCGAUCAGCACAAAUAUGAACAGUAGCACCGGAAUCCAUCCACCAGUCAUCUGAUGGACUUGCCAUAAAGGCCUGAAGUGCAUACCCUGGGGUGGAGUUAACCACCACGUUCCCUUCUUUGCGCUGAGGUGGAGGACCUUUUCCCUUCCUAAGUUUGCACCUCCGAGCUGUAUGCCCGGAGACACCACAAACGUAGCAGAUAAAGUCCUCCUUUUUCUUCUUCAUCUUUUUGGAUUUAGGUUGGUUCAGAUUCUUCUGUGGAGAGUUCUUCUUCUUCUUCUGGAAUUUUCUAUCUCCACCCUUCUCAACAACGUGAGCCUGGAGUUGCUGGGAUGGCUUGUUACUAGACCUUGCACGCUCUUCCACAUUAAUCGCAGCUGACAACUCAGUGAGAGUCAUUUGCUUCUUCAUGUGGCGGCGUGAAGUCACAAAGUCUCGCCAAGAAGGCGGGAGCUUUGCCAGUAUUGCAUUCACCUGAAAACUGUCUGGUAGGACGCAGCCAUAUUGGACCAAGUCCCUAACAAGGAGUUGAAUCUCCUGUAGCUGCUCCAUAACAGACCUUCCCUCAACCAUUUUAUAGUUGAGAUAGUUUUCCGUUGUGAAUGACUCAUUGCCAUUGUCAACUUCAGAGAACUCGUUCUCAAGUUUAGUCCAUAGACCCUUAGCGGAGGUAAAACCAGAGUACACGUCAAAUAAGCGGUUCGACAAGACGUUCAGCAGACGAGACAAGCAUGCCUCAUUGGCUUCGUCCCACUUGGCCUUCUCCGCUAGUGCGGCGGCCUUCGCUGCAUCAUCAGAAUCAUCUGAUGCAGCCUGUGGAACAGCCGACGUCACUACCCAAAAUAAUUUUAGGUCAGUGAGCCACAUGCGAGUCUUAAUCUGCCAGCGCUUAAAGCUUGCGCCGUCGAACGCUUCAGGCUUAAUGACAUCAGAACUGGAGGCCAUUGUACGAAUUGGUUUUCUGGAUUGUUGUAAAAUUAGAGAAAUAAGCGACAUGCUUUCUACAUAUUUAAAUAGAUUAAAUAUUCUAAUUCCGAAUAAAAUAAUCAUAUAACUCAGAUAAAUACCAUAUGAAAUUAUAGCAGCAAUGAACAGUAGCAAUUCUAAGACAUGUAAACAUGUAAAAUAGCUACACAGGUCCAUUUCAUAAUUAAACAUGGCUUGCAGAUGAAGAAGGCAGAUUAAACAAAUAAACAUAAUUGUUUAUCUUGAAGUAUUGCUCUCAAAAUAGCGGGUUGCUGCACAAGACAGCCCUCCAACGCUAAAGGGUGAUCAAAGAUCCUCGACUAACGUGACAGUCCUAUUUUACCAAAACAGGGUUUUAGAACAAAUAUUAUGAGCCUAGAAAUCAAGCAUGAAUAUUAAGAUCAAAACAGUGUGCAUAAGAAUUAAGGAACAAUAAUGAACUUAAAUAAUCAGCUUGCACAAUAGUAAGAAAUAACUAGGCACAAAUAAUAUCAAUGAUGAAAAUAACAACACACUAAAACCCAGACUGUCACGUCGUCUCACUACACCGCU
This 6161-nucleotide long non-coding RNA is filed under the name Zea mays. RNAcentral describes it as "long non-coding RNA (ZMAY_LNC004938)". The record is from RNAcentral. Lineage: Eukaryota; Viridiplantae; Streptophyta; Magnoliopsida; Poales; Poaceae.